Molecule: ribosomal RNA, 253 nt
Filed under: uncultured bacterium
Lineage: Bacteria
Description: partial 16S ribosomal RNA
Rfam family: Bacterial small subunit ribosomal RNA
Source: RNAcentral
UACGGGGGGGGCAAGCGUUGUUCGGAAUUACUGGGCGUAAAGCGUGCGCAGGCGGUUUUGUAAGCCAGAUGUGAAAUCCCCGGGCUUAACCUGGGAAUGGCAUUUGGGACUGCAAGGCUUGAGUGCGGCAGAGGAGACUGGAAUUCCCGGUGUAGCAGUGAAAUGCGUAGAUAUCGGGAGGAAUACCGAUGGCGAAGGCAGGUCUCUGGGCUGACACUGACGCUCAUGCACGAAAGCGUGGGGAGCAAACAGG